This 72-nucleotide transfer RNA is filed under the name Odocoileus virginianus texanus. It matches the Rfam family "tRNA". From Rfam's summary of the family: Transfer RNA (tRNA) molecules are approximately 80 nucleotides in length. Their secondary structure includes four short double-helical elements and three loops (D, anti-codon, and T loops). RNAcentral also lists the same sequence under 5 other names. The record is from Rfam by way of RNAcentral. Lineage: Eukaryota; Metazoa; Chordata; Mammalia; Artiodactyla; Cervidae.
UCCCAAGUGGCUCAGUGGUAAAGAACCUGCCUGCUAAGGCAGGAGAUGUGGGUUCCAUCCCUGUGUUGGGAA